CAUUAGGCCUCCCUAGAGGCCACCAACCUCUCAAUUAGGGUGAUC
Molecule: non-coding RNA, 45 nt
Organism: Punica granatum (pomegranate)
Lineage: Eukaryota; Viridiplantae; Streptophyta; Magnoliopsida; Myrtales; Lythraceae
Source: Rfam